AGUGAACGCUGGCGGUAGGCCUAACACAUGCAAGUCGAACGGCAGCACAGUAAGAGCUUGCUCUUACGGGUGGCGAGUGGCGGACGGGUGAGGAAUACAUCGGAAUCUACUUUUUCGUGGGGGAUAACGUAGGGAAACUUACGCUAAUACCGCAUACGACCUACGGGUGAAAGCAGGGGAUCUUCGGACCUUGCGCGAUUGAAUGAGCCGAUGUCGGAUUAGCUAGUUGGCGGGGUAAAGGCCCGCCAAGGCGACGAUCCGUAGCUGGUCUGAGAGGAUGGUCAGCCACACUGGAACUGAGACACGGUCCAGACUCCUACGGGAGGCAGCAGUGGGGAAUAUUGGACAAUGGGCGGAAGCCUGAUCCAGCCAUACCGCGUGGGUGAAGAAGGCCUUCGGGUUGUAAAGCCCUUUUGUUGGGAAAGAAAAGCAGCAGGUUAAUACCCCGCUGUUCUGACGGUACCCAAAGAAUAAGCACCGGCUAACUUCGUG
Molecule: ribosomal RNA, 492 nt
Filed under: uncultured bacterium
Lineage: Bacteria
Description: partial 16S ribosomal RNA
Rfam family: Bacterial small subunit ribosomal RNA
Source: RNAcentral